RNAcentral lists this ribosomal RNA (1634 nucleotides) under Austrofundulus limnaeus. RNAcentral describes it as "16S ribosomal RNA". It matches the Rfam family "Bacterial large subunit ribosomal RNA". Lineage: Eukaryota; Metazoa; Chordata; Actinopteri; Cyprinodontiformes; Rivulidae. The record is from RNAcentral.
UACUUAAUAACUAGCUUACACGACUAAAAUAACAAAUGUUAUUAAGCAAACCUAAAAUUUCUAAAACCUUUAACUAAAACAUUUUAUUGCUCUUAGUAUGGGCGACAAAAAAGAAAAAUAAUUUUAGCUAUAACUAAAGUACCGCAAGGGAAAGCUGAAAAACACACAUAAGUAAAAAGAAGCAGAGUUCUACCCUCGUACCUUUCGCAUGAUGCUUUAGUUAGAUAAUGUUAAGCAAAAAGCAUUUUAGUUCAACACUCCGAAAUUAGGUGAGCUACUCUAAAGCAGUUUGAUCUAAAGAACGCACCCGUCUCUGUGGCAAAAGAGUGGGACGACUUUUGAGUAGAGGUGAUAUGCCUACCAAACCUAAUAAUAGCUGAUUACCUAAAAAAUGAAUAUAAGUUCAGCCUUUUUUAUUCUUAACCCAAACAUAUAAAUUCAACACAGUCAAAAAGAAUUGAAAAAGAGUUAGUCAAAGGAGGUCCAGCCCCUCUGAAAAGUUGUAAUUUUUCUGGGAAAACAGUAAAACUUAAGGAAGUAUACUAUAUGGCCUUGAAAGCAGUCACUAUAUAACAAAAUGUGUCAAAACUCAAAAAUUUUCUUCCCAUAGAUGUCAAGAAAUUAAGUAAAUUUUCCCAAACUUAUUAGGUUAAUUACACCCCCCCCCGUAAUGCAAUAAUACUAAUAUGAGUAAUAAGAAAACCCUAUUUCUCUUUAAGCACCUUAAUAUCCAAACACUCUCCAUAACUAACGACCCCCACAAAGUUGUUGUAAAAACUUUAAUCAACAAGAAAACCCCUUAAUACCCUAAUCGUUAAUCCUACCCCGGCACUUAAAUACAGAAAGACUAAAAAGAGAGCAAGGAACUCGGCAAAUAAACCACUAAACCCCGCCUGUUUACCAAAAACAUCGCCUCUUGAAACAAAAAUAAGAGGUCUUGCCUGCCCCCUGACACAUGUUCAACGGCCGCGGUAUCCUAACCGUGUGAAGGUAGCGUAAUCAUUUGUUUUUUAAAUAGAGACCUGUAUGAAUGGCAUGACGAGGGUUUAACUGUCUCACUCUCUUAGUCAAUGAAAUUGAUUUUUCCGUGCAGAAGCGGAGAUACAAACACAAGACAAAAAGACCCCGUGAAGCUUUAAGGUGAAAAAUAACAGUUUUAAUAUAAAAUCAAUGAACCACUCCACCCACCUUUCGGUUGGGGCAACCCUGGAGAAAACAAAUCCUCCACGAAAAACGCCAAAAUCCCAUUAGACUUGAAUCAACAAUACUAACUUACAAAAUAUUUGUUCUAAUGAUCCAGAAAUACUGAUCAACGAAACAAGUUACUCCGGGGAUAACAGCGCAAUCCCCUUCUAGAGCCCAUAUUGACAAGGGGGUUUACGACCUCGAUGUUGGACCAGGACAUCCUAAUGGCGCAGCCGCUGUUAAAGGUUCGUUUGUUCAACGAUUAAAGUCCUACGUGAUCUGAGUUCAGACCGGAGCAAUCCAGGUCAGUUUUUAUCUGUGAAAUAUUUUCUUUCAGUACGAAAGGACCAAAGAAAAAAAGCCUCUUCUGCAAGAACGCUUUAUUUUAAUUUAAGGAACCCAACUAAAAUAAGUAAAAACAAAAUAUGUGGAAGAAUAAAACUUUCCCG